This 433-nucleotide ribosomal RNA is filed under the name uncultured bacterium. RNAcentral's name for it is "partial 16S ribosomal RNA". It matches the Rfam family "Bacterial small subunit ribosomal RNA", at positions 29 to 507 of the family's 1533-position model. The record is from RNAcentral.
AACGAACGCUGGCGGCAUGCCUAACACAUGCAAGUCGAACGAGACCUUCGGGUCUAGUGGCGCACGGGUGCGUAACGCGUGGGAACCUGCCCUUAGGUUCGGAAUAACUCCCCGAAAGGGGUGCUAAUACCGGAUAAUGUCUUCGGACCAAAGAUUUAUCGCCUUUGGAUGGGCCCGCGUUGGAUUAGCUAGUUGGUAGGGUAAAAGCCUACCAAGACGACGAUCCAUAGCUGGUCUGAGAGGAUGAUCAGCCACACUGGGACUGAGACACGGCCCAGACUCCUACGGGAGGCAGCAGUGGGGAAUAUUGGACAAUGGGCGAAAGCAUGAUCCAGCAAUGCCGCGUGAGUGAUGAAGGCCUUAGGGUUGUAAAGCUCUUUUACCCGGGAUGAUAAUGACAGUACCGGGAGAAUAAGCUCCGGCUAACUCCGUG